This is a long non-coding RNA of Hemicordylus capensis (graceful crag lizard), 360 nucleotides long. RefSeq lists it as uncharacterized. Lineage: Eukaryota; Metazoa; Chordata; Lepidosauria; Squamata; Cordylidae. The record is from RefSeq and is a predicted model, not a curated record. The transcript is spliced from 2 exons.
AGGUGCUCCUAUUCUGCAUGUAGAAGAUUUGAAGUUCUGGAAGACCAUCGGGACAGAAGCGCUCUGUGUACCUGUAGACAUUGGCCAGGUUUCAUUUGGGAAGCUACUCACUAUUUCCAGAAAGAAGGCUGCACACAGUGUGCCCAAAGGGAUCUAGGAGACUGUCCAUGCCUGACAGUGUGCCUGCCGGGAAGGAACAAUGAAAGGCAACCGGAAAGGGAGAAACGAGGCAAGUUCCGUCUGGGUUGUAGAACCUUCAGUAGAGGGUGAUCCGAAAUGUUUCCUUAUUGUCAUCGAACUGUUGUGUUUGUGUGAUUUUUUUUUUUAAAAAUCAAAAUAAAAAUGGAACAACAAAAAUAA